CCUACGGGGGGCAGCAGUGGGGAAUAUUGGACAAUGGGCGAAAGCCUGAUCCAGCCAUGCCGCGUGUGUGAAGAAGGCCUUCGGGUUGUAAAGCACUUUCAGUGGGGAAGAAAGCCUUGGGGCUAAUACCCUCGAGGAAGGACAUCACCCACAGAAGAAGCACCGGCUAACUCCGUGCCAGCAGCCGCGGUAAUACGGAGGGUGCGAGCGUUAAUCGGAAUUACUGGGCGUAAAGCGCGCGUAGGCGGUCUGAUAAGCCGGGUGUGAAAGCCCCGGGCUCAACCUGGGAACGGCAUCCGGAACUGUCAGGCUAGAGUGCAGGAGAGGAAGGUAGAAUUCCCGGUGUAGCGGUGAAAUGCGUAGAGAUCGGGAGGAAUACCAGUGGCGAAGGCGGCCUUCUGGACUGUCACUGACGCUGAGGUGCGAAAGCGUGGGUAGCAAACAGGAUUAGAUACCCUUGUAGUC
RNAcentral lists this ribosomal RNA (465 nucleotides) under Vreelandella stevensii. RNAcentral describes it as "partial 16S ribosomal RNA". It matches the Rfam family "Bacterial small subunit ribosomal RNA", at positions 338 to 795 of the family's 1533-position model. The record is from RNAcentral. Lineage: Bacteria; Pseudomonadati; Pseudomonadota; Gammaproteobacteria; Oceanospirillales; Halomonadaceae.